Pelodiscus sinensis (Chinese soft-shelled turtle) is the source of this 46-nucleotide regulatory RNA element. It matches the Rfam family "Histone 3' UTR stem-loop". From Rfam's summary of the family: The mRNAs of metazoan histone genes lack a poly-A tail. 3' end processing occurs at a site between a highly conserved stem-loop (modelled by this family) and a purine rich region around 20 nts downstream (the histone downstream element, or HDE). NCBI's taxonomy places the organism in Eukaryota, Metazoa, Chordata, Testudines, Trionychidae. The record is from Rfam.
AUAAAGGCUCUUUUUAGAGCCACACACAAAGAUCAAAAAAGAGUUU